This 294-nucleotide unclassified non-coding RNA is filed under the name Hevea brasiliensis (rubber tree). Lineage: Eukaryota; Viridiplantae; Streptophyta; Magnoliopsida; Malpighiales; Euphorbiaceae. The record is from RNAcentral.
GUCUCUCUCUCUCUCUCUCUGGCCUCAACUGUACUUAAUUGAUAGCCAGCGUGCCUGUUUUCCAUUCUGGAAACAAGGAAGAAAAAGUUGAUAAAUCAAAGCCUAGCAAAGGACAGGCUUUGAAAACUUAGUCUGUCAUUUGGGUCAUAGACGGAUCUGUGAUCGGUUUCUUCAAUCCUUUUACUCGAAAGAGACGUCUCAGAACGAGGUUGGUUUGAUAGUGGCAUAUUACGUUUCUCUUCUUUAAUCUUGUUCGUGAAAAUCAUAUUCAAACUCUGCUCUUUUUGUUUUCAA